RNAcentral lists this long non-coding RNA (2054 nucleotides) under Homo sapiens (human). Its description in RNAcentral is "HSALNT0117040". The record is from RNAcentral. Lineage: Eukaryota; Metazoa; Chordata; Mammalia; Primates; Hominidae.
CCCAGGUAUUAUUAGCGUCUAGCCUCCAACAAGACAGCAAACUAACACAGGUUACAGGGAAGUUCCUCCAAGUUCAGUCCUGGAGACGUCAGAUCGCUGAGAAGGAGGUUGAUUGGUAAGGAACAAAUGUCAAAACUAUUAGAAACGGUUAGGGAGAUUGAAGGUGGCUGAAUCCUAGAACGUAAAAAAUAAAUUGGAUUCCACCACAUGACACCUGGUGAAUGCCAGAUCCAUGAAAGCCCUAAAUGUGAAAGGUAAAAAUGUUAAAGAUGGUAUAAGAAGACGUGUAAGGAUAUCUGUAAGUUUGGGAUAAAAAGACUUUUUAAAUAAUAUGCCAAAGAACAAAAGUUAACAUAAUUGAUACAUCAGAAUUAAGGAUUUCUUUUAAAUGAAGGACAGAGUUAAGAAAAUUAAGAGAAGUAGUGCAACAGGAGACUGUUCUCCAAUGUAUAAAAUCCACGAGGGGUUCACAGACGGAGCAGAUCAGCGCUUAACAGAGAGUGAAACUGACCGGCCAGCAAGGUCCAGUCGCAGUAGGAGCUCCAGAAAAAGGAGGUUCCCGUCUUCCCUCUUGUUCUUCCCAAGGGCCAAAGUGCCUCAAGCAUGACAUUUUUCCAGGACAAAGAUGAGCUGUUUCAGGAAGGAGGGCAAGGAGCAUUGCAGUGCAGCCCAGCUUGGAUCCAGGGAAAAUUCAAAGAUAGAAGAUUAAAGUCCGCAGUCUCGCCCCCAACGAGGCAUGGAGACCAGUGAGCCGGGAGCUCAGGGCAGGUGGUUCUGUCUGCCCCCGGCGCUGCCCUGGCGUAGACACUCAGGUCAAAGCACCCACCUUUAGGGCCAAGUCUUACUGGAGAGAGGCUACUCAUGUGGAAGGGUGAGAAGGUGAAACUGUGAUAGUUUAUUAAACAAUUUCAGAGUGGGGUUGGAAUUUCAGAAAAUCCUUUGAAGAAGAGGAAGGAAUGGCUCCAGCUGUGAGGAAGCGCAUGUUCCCAGCCUGAAGAAGAGCGUCCAAGUGAUCCAGGUGGAAAACCUGAGCCUGAGUCUCGGGCUGCCCUGCCUCCUAGAAGCUGAGCUGUGUGAUGUCUCUUUCUGAGAUCCAGGUGGAAAACCUGAGCCUGAGUCUUGGGCUGCCCCGCCUCCUGAACGCUGAGCUGUGUGAUGUCUCUUUCCAAGGACCAGGUGGAAAACCUGAGCCUGAGUCUCGGGCUGCCCCACCUCCUGGACGCUGAGCUGUGUGAUGUCUUCAUUCCCAGAUCCAGGUGGAAAACCUGAGCCUGAGUCUCGGGCUGCCCCACCUCCUGGACGCUGAGCUGUGUGAUGUCUUCAUUCCCAGAUCCAGAUGGAAAACCUGAGCCUGAGUCUUGGGCUGCCCCGCCUCCUGGAUGCUGAGCUGUGUGAUGUCUCUUUCCGAGAUCCAGGUGGAAAACCUGAGCCUGAGUCUCAGGCUGCCCGGCCUCCUGGAUGCUGAGCUGUGUGAUGUCUCUUUCCCAGAUCCAGGUGGAAAACCUGAGCCUGAGUCUUGGGCUGCCCCACCUCCUGGACAUUGAGCUGUGUGAUGUCUCUUUCCAAGGUCCAGGUGGAAAACCUGAGCCUGAGUCUCGGGCUGCCCGCCUCCUGGACGCUGAGCUGUGUGAUGUCUCUUUCCAAGGUCCAGGUGGAAAACCUGAGCCUGAGUCUCGGGCUGCCCCGCCUCCUAGAGGCUGAGCUGUGUGAUGUCUCUUUCCAAGAUCCAGGUGGAAAACCUGAGCCUGAGUCUUGGGCUGCCCCCACUCCUGGACACUGAGCUGUGUGAUGUCUCUUUCCCAGAUCCAGGUGGAAAACUGGGGCCAAUGUUCCUGGUUAUCCCCCCAGCAGCAUGUGUUCCUGGGAUAAGGCCUUGCAUUCCCACAGAGCUGUGCGGGGGCUCAUGCCUAAAAUCCCAGCACUGUGGGAGGCCGAGGAAGGAUUGCUUGAGCCCAGGAGUUUAAGACCAGCCUAGGCAACAUGGCAAGACCCCAUCUCUACAAAAAAAAAAAAAAAAAAACAACUAAGCCAGGCGUGGUGCAGGCACAUGCAGG